RNAcentral lists this transfer RNA (76 nucleotides) under Closterium acutum. RNAcentral's name for it is "tRNA-Ala". It matches the Rfam family "tRNA". Rfam says of the family: Transfer RNA (tRNA) molecules are approximately 80 nucleotides in length. Their secondary structure includes four short double-helical elements and three loops (D, anti-codon, and T loops). Further hydrogen bonds mediate the characteristic L-shaped molecular structure. tRNAs have two regions of fundamental functional importance: the anti-codon, which is responsible for specific mRNA codon recognition, and the 3' end, to which the tRNAs corresponding amino acid is attached (by aminoacyl-tRNA synthetases). tRNAs cope with the degeneracy of the genetic code in two manners: having more than one tRNA (with a specific anti-codon) for a particular amino acid; and 'wobble' base-pairing, i.e. permitting non-standard base-pairing at the 3rd anti-codon position. The record is from RNAcentral. Lineage: Eukaryota; Viridiplantae; Streptophyta; Zygnematophyceae; Desmidiales; Closteriaceae.
UGGGGGUAUAGCUCAGUUGGUAGAGCGCCGCCCUUGCAGGCGGAUGUCAGCGGUUCGAGUCCGCUUACCUCCAACC